Molecule: unclassified non-coding RNA, 324 nt
Filed under: uncultured fungus
Lineage: Eukaryota; Fungi
Description: partial contains small subunit ribosomal RNA, internal transcribed spacer 1, and 5.8S ribosomal RNA
Rfam family: Eukaryotic small subunit ribosomal RNA (bases 1-73)
Source: RNAcentral
ACAAACUUGGUCAUUUAGAGGAAGUAAAAGUCGUAACAAGGUUUCCGUAGGUGAACCUGCGGAAGGAUCAUUAACGUAUCUCUGGCGGGCGUCACGCGCCCCGCUCCGUCCUCACCGGCCGUGCAGCGGGCGCUCGGCCCUGUCCAACCUUCACAAACCCACCGUGCACAUUUGCGGCGGAGGGGGCGCUGUCUGGGCUGCCCCUGAAACCGUUCUUAACAGACCCUUGAAACUUUUGAAUGAUCAGUGGCCUCCGAGCCGCCUAAAUUUGAAACAACUUUCAACAACGGAUCUCUUGGCUCUCGCAUCGAUGAAGAACGCAGC